UGUCUCCAAAGACAGAAAGGAAAGAAGGAAGAAAGGGAGGGAGGAAGAAAGAAAGGAAGGAAGAAAGAAUGAACAGCCACUCAGGGUGGGGAGGAAGCUCAGGGCUGCUCUGGCCCUGAAAUGUCAAGCAGCCAUGAGUAUGAAGACUGACCAGUCUCUGGAUUGGGUAUUUAUUUAUUUAUUUAUUUAUUUAUUUAUUUAUUUAUUUAUUUAUUUAUUUAUUUUUGAGGCAGUGUAUGGGGCCCCAGCCGGUUAUCUUUUAUAAACCAGGCUGGCCACACACUCACAGAGACCAUCCUUCCUCUGCCUCUCAAAUGCUGGGGCUAAAGGCGUGUGCUACUAUACUCAGCCUUCAGUUUAAUUUUUUAAUUAGAUUAAAGAUCUCAUGGGACCAAAGAGAAAUUCCCCUCAGGCCUGAGCUCUGGCUGUGUACUGAUGGAAUUUCUAGGACUGAAGGCAAGAAGCAGAACACAUGUGCAACUCAGCUGGCAAGAGCCUGGCAGGUGGUCAAGUAGGCAGCCAGCCCAGGCCUGGGAAUCGAGCACCCUAACCCAGGUUCUGGGAUGCCUAGAAGGAUCUAGGCUCCCUGUUUCCAAAUGCAUAGCAGUGGUGAGAUCCCGGUGGAAGGGGGAGGACCCCGACUGACAGUAAAGAGGAGAGCAGUGUGCAUCCCUCACACCACAGAGCACCCAGUGGGAGUGUGUCAGCACACAGGGAGACAUUAUAAGACUAACACAUUUGGGAGCUGACAACAGGUAAGGCGCCAUCCCUUCUGAGGUGAGUGGGCCAUGUUUCUUGGCAUCGCUGUUCUCACAGUCCUGCAGCGCUUGCUGCUCGUACCUGGGAAACAGACACUGUGAGAUCACCUCCAUGUCACUGGGGUCUGAGCCCUGGGAAGGUAGGAGAGGUGACCUUCCUUCCCUGGCACUGUCAGACUGGUUGAUCUGUAGGGGACUAGUUCUGAUGAUCAAGGCCAGGAUCCCAGGGAGGCUCAGGGACCAGCCAAGGGCGACUGGGAAGCCUGACCACCUUUCAUAGUUCCUCCUCUUCUCACAGGAGAGACGGGCUCUGUGGCACGGGGAAGGUUGGGGAUGGUCUAUGUAUGUAUGAAUGUAAUAAAGAAGGGUGAUGGGAAGGUCCUGGCUUGACCAAGGAUCCUUGGCAAGGCUCACCCCGCUGAGAGGGGCCCCCUGGAGGGGGGGAGUGUUCUGACAUUGGAGUUUACAGAGCCUUAGUGAAUGCUAAGGGAGGCAGGGACAAGCAGAUCUCUGUGAGUUCGAGGCCAGCCUGGUCUACCAGCUGGUUGAAAUGACUGAGGGGCACUAUUAGGCAGGGACAACAGAGGCUCAGAACUAGUUCCCCCAGGCCCCUUGCUGGUAGUAAUGGCUGGUUCAGGUUUUCUAGGUUUUUUGUUUGUUUGUUUGUUUUUGCUUUUUGUUUUUUUGGUCUUUCGAGACAGGGUUCCCUCUGUGUAGCCCUGGCUGUCCUGGAACUCACUUUGUAGACCAGGCUGGCCUCGAACUCAGAAAUCCUCCUGCCUCUGCCUCCCGAGUGCUGGGAUUAAAGGCAUGCGCCACCGCGCCCAGCUGUUUUCUUGGUUUUUAUUUUUAUUUUUGUUUGCUUGCUUGGCUCCCUGUGACCUGGCUGUAACUCACAGGGCUCCACCGGCCUCUGUCUUCUGAAUGCUGGGGUUAAAGGCGUGCACCCCCAUGCUUGCCUCCAAGAGGAAGUUCGGAGAAAGGCCUUGAACAUGAGGAGGGCCUCAGGCACCCCAGGGUCCUGAAGAGCUCAAACGGUUUCUAGGAGAGCCAUGGAAGGGCCUUAGCCUUCACAUGCGCGUCAGAUUUGAUGCUCCCUGAAGUCAGAAUGGUUAACUCAGCUUCGGUCAGCCAGGCCCAGGGAGACAUCUGUCACAAGCGACACACGUCCAAAGGCUUUGCUGGCAUUAGCACCGGUGUCUAAAGGAGAUUUUAUCACCAACCAAGCCUGGGAGGUCCAACUGAGGCAGAGACGGAGAAAUACAACAGAGAGUAGAUCUGCAGGCUGUGGUGGGAGGGGAGGGCUAGGACAUUCCCGGGGAGGUGCCUGGCUGGGCCAGGACAAGGACCUUGCCAGAAGGACCACCUAACUCAGAGAUGAGAUUGGAAUGGCUACGUGCUUGCUGCCAUGGGCCACUGAGGUCAGAGAAUUACCAGACAGGGGGGGCAGGGGUGAGUCUGGUGAGUCCAGUACUGACCGGCACUGGGAUCCUACAAGGGUGGUGUUGCUUUGGCCACUGUGGGAAACUAUGUAGCAGUACAGCAGGUCCCAGGAGCCCACUGCCAGACAGAAGCAUCAUGGUCUAUGCCAGGGCAGAGCAUUCUGUGAUGAGUCAAUACAUGGGUCCCCUCUCAGGGACAAGUCCUGGGUAACUAGGCUUGUGUCCCCUUCAGGUGUCUGUGAAGUCCUUCUCAAACAGACUGUGCACCCUUGUCUGCCCUGUGGCUCUCUUUCAUGGUCUCUUGUGCCUCCUAUGGACAAGCUACCCUGGCUUUAGGAAGUCAAAAUCAAGACUCACAACCCUCACCACAGUCCAAGAAGAAUGAAGCUCUAGAGCCUCAGGGAACGGCUGCUAUGGACAGCUGAGUGUCCCCGAGAGGUACCUAGGAUGCAAGCUGAAGGCAGUGCCCCUGACUGCCCUGGGAUGAACGCAAUCGCAGGAGCCCUAAAGUCAAGGAUGAUGGGAGGCUAGCUACAGGCUGGAAAGGGAAGGGGACAGUCUGCCAAGAACGUGUCAAGUUUCUUGGUUCCUACCCAAGGACAGAGUCCACUUGGUCCGGAGGGAAAGCAGGCUGUAGGCCCGUUGCUGGUUUAUUCAACCUGGUGCCAGGCCAGUGAUGGCUGGCCUGGAACAUGUCCAAGCCUGCUUCCCAUGCAUACAUGAGUGUCCUGGCGUCACAGUGGAGGUCCUGACCCAAAUGUUGGGGUCUUGGCACCAUCUAGUCCGUGCCACUUGGUCACUGCAGGCUGGCCACUUUGCCUGUGGGCAUUUGCCGCCACCGGCCUUUCAGUGACACAGGCUGACAGAUUGACUGUGGGACAGGGAUUAACAAGGGACAGUAAUGAGUGACUAGCAAUGGGAUGGAGCUGUGUGGGCCUGAUCUCCACCUCUCUACUGACCAUUUUGAUGACUGUAUCAACUGUGGACUGUAUUUCUGCUCAGCCUGGCUUACCGGACUGCCUCUCAAGGCCAGGAUACCAAGUGCUUCAUCUACACUGGCAGUUUCACCAAAGAGGGGGAACAACUUGUGGGGUACCCCUGGGGAUCCAAAAGGAACCUUGGAGCUAGGGGUCUUUGGAGGUUGUCUUUAAGCUGGACAUGCCCUGAAGGAGGCUGCUGCAAAGUUCUGCCCAGAGAGUUUCUUCUCACCAUGAGCCCGACCUGAAGCCAGGGACCUCUGGCACUCCUUUCCUGUGCGUCUCUUGGCCUUGGCACACCUGGCUGCGUGCUCAGAAGCUUCCAGGGAGCAAGGGAGAGCCAGUCUAGCCAGAUCCCGAGAAGAUCAGCUAGUAGUCUAACAUCCUGAGGGCAGAAAAAUAGCCUUAGAAUUGGGCGGUAACACCAAUAGUCUAAAAAUUACAGCACUGGGUGACAGAGUCAGGUGGAUCACUGAGGCCAGCCUGGUCUACACAGUGAGUUCAAGGCCAGUCUGGGCUACACAGAGAAACCCUGUCUAGGAAAAAACAAAACAAAAUUCAGAGCAGAAAGAAAGGGGCUUGGAAAGGGAAAUUCCUAGGGUCCAUGACAUUGGUGGAUAGAUCCAGAAGGCUCAAAGGAAAGUAUCCCUGAGCAAAGGUCGUGGGUCAGAAUUUGAGGAGUGGGACAGAUUUCAAUGAGGGGCCUGGAGUUGGGUGGGGAGCAUGAGGGGAGGAGCAAUCCUUCGGGCCUAGAGACUCAUCAGCAGGGUAUGAGACUGGUUAUUUAUCAUCCCAUAAGUUUCUGCUUGCCUCAGUUUCUCCAUCAGUGUGCAUUCCCCAGGAAAUGCCUGGGCUCUGAGCUCAUUAACCCCAGCUGUGCUGUCCUGUAAUGCGGUCACCCAUCCCUGGCUACUCUUGGUUUGCAGGAGUGCCCACCCAUGAGAUAUGUCACCUAUUCCAGGAGACUGAAGUGCUAAGGUGGACACUGUUCAGAAGUUAGAUUUCCUGUCUCCAGUGAUGCCUGAAAUCUGCUAAAAAUAUCUGUGCCCCCUGCCAGGGAGGCAGCUAUGACGGUGGCUGGGCUGCAGUGAUGAUGCUGAGCCCAGGGAGCAUCCGGCAGAGCCAGUUGCCAUGGUGAUGCUGACUCACAGGCAGAGGCAGGUAGUGGUAUCUGGUACCCGGCUGCCCGCCUCUGCAUGGCCAGCACUCAGCAUCCUGCCCAGCACCCACCCCACAGCCUCUGCGGGAAACAGGGUCGCUAUGGGGGCAGAGAACGUGCACAGGCUGCAUCCUCCACUGUCUCUAUGUCACUGACCUGUCAUAGCAGGAAGAUGUCAGAUGUGGUUUAGCUUCUAAUGACCUUGACUGGGGCCAAUAGGAUGCACGAACAUACAACCAUCUGCCUGACCUUUGAUCAACCCAUCCACCCACCCAUCCAGCUCUCAUGUCUGCUUGACCUCUCACCCACUCACCCACCCUGCUCUCAUCUGUCCUGUCUAACAAGCCCUUCAUUUCACAUUUACAAAACAUGUCCUGUGCACUAAUGUACUCAUAGUCAUGGUGGGGGAGCUGUGCUGGGUGAACCUCAUGGUCACUUGGACCCAUCCCUGGUGCUGGCUAAGACCCUACCUGUUCCUCAUUUUCUUGUCCCUGUCUCCCACUGUCCUCCAUUCCCACACCUCAGGUUGCCACAGCCACAUCAGCUGCAGCUAACACCCUUUUCCACCAUCCACCUAUAUCAGCUGAUUUCUGCCCCAGGGCCUUUGCACUUCCAAUUGCGGAAAGGACCCCUUUUUUUUCCUCAGCUGGCCUCUGGGCCUCCGGAUUCUUGGUUUCUUUAUAUUCUUCCAUCCUAGGUGAUGGUACCUGGCAGGCUGAUGCCAAGCACCUUGGGUUACACAGUGAGUGACACUAUCUGUAGACACAACAAAAGCAACAGUGCAUACAGAAAGGAGAUGGGUGGUGCACACCUAUUAAUCCCAGCACUCAGGAAGUGGAGGCAGGGCUAUCUCUCUUGACUUUCAGGUCAACCUGGAUGCCUGGAGCAUGAGGUCCUAAACUUGAUCCAUAAAUUCCGGGUCCCCCCUCCCCAGAACUGGGGAGGGAGAGACAGACAGAUCCCUGGAGCUUACUGGAAACUAUAGAGCAAAGAAAGGCUUGGUGGGGUGAGAUAGCUCAGCAACUACAGAAGAUUGUCAACCAAACUAAACCAGGCAACCUGAGUUUAAUCCCCUGGUACCCACAUGGUAGAGGGAGGGAACUCCAACAUAUUGUCCUCUGACCUACACACACACACACACACACACACAGAGUGUAUAAACAGAGAAAUUAAAACCACUUUUGAGAAC
Mus musculus (house mouse) is the source of this 5525-nucleotide long non-coding RNA. RefSeq annotates it as predicted gene, 39191. The transcript has 2 exons. The record is from RefSeq and is a predicted model, not a curated record. NCBI's taxonomy places the organism in Eukaryota, Metazoa, Chordata, Mammalia, Rodentia, Muridae.